CGUAGGUAGCGGUGGAGCCUGCGACCCUGCUCGCCCUCGAGCGGGCGGGAGGGACUCGUCUAGGGUUUUCGCAAGAUCCAACUGACAGCCCCUGAAAUCUGCUCGCGCACAGAGUAGAGGGCUGCAGGUGUCCGGUGAGACGCGGUCAGCGGGUUGAGGAGGAUCGUGCGGGUAGAGAAGAGAGGGCGAGUACCCCUGCGGCCCCUGACUGCGAUCAGAACAUGCAUCAUUGUUAGAACCAUCACCCUGAAGCUAGCUUGGACACCAUUAAAAGGGCUCAUCAACUGCAAAUGGAUAAAAGUGUCUGAUAUUUGUGAAGACAGAGUUUCAGGGCUUCUACCUAAAGCUACACUCUCCAGAAGCCCCUGCGUGGCUUGCCUGCACCCACCCCCACCCCACCUGGUCACAACUUGGCUGUGUGUGGUGUUUCUUGGCAACUAGAACAGACUCCUCCAGCAGCUCCACAGGCCCCUUGUCUUCAGUGAGCAGAAGACUACAGAAGCUGGCUACUGAAGAGGCUGACCAAGUGAUAGAGCUCCUCCUUGGCCCUCCUUAGCACACUUGCCACAGAGAGUGAGUGUUGGAUGUUACUCAUUUGUGCUCACCACCUGCAGGGACUUCAGAGGGAUUGUCAGACCCUGUUGAACUAAGGGCUGCCCUCUAAGGAUCUCCCCAGGAGGCUGCCCAUAGAGAGAGGUGGCCAGCCUAGGGUUUCCACUGCCUUAGGUUCUACAUGGACACCCCCCGCCAGGGCUGAGGCAAUCAGUAUCUCUUCACCUACCUGUAAUCCACAUAGCAACUGGAAAAUUCUGCCUUCUGCUAUUUUUUGUCCUUUUGUUCGUUUUUUGGGGGUAGGAAGAGUUUUAACUGCUGCUUCAAUUCCUUUAGUAGUUAGAGGACGAUUCAGGAUUUCUUUUUCUUUUUGAGUCAGUUUUGGUAAGUUAAAGCGUUCUAGAAAUUGGUCUGUUUUGUCUGCAUUUUCAGAUUUAUUGACUUAAACUUCCCUUAUAUUUUUAUUCGCUGCUGUAUAUAAUCUGUAGUUAUGUCUCCUUUUUCAUUGCUGAUAUUGGUUAUUUGUGCCUUCUCACUUUUUUUCUUGAUCAAUCUCGCCAGAGGUUUGUCUAUUUUAUUAGUGUUUUCAAAGAACCAACUUUUGGC
Long non-coding RNA from Hipposideros armiger (great roundleaf bat), 1158 nucleotides. RefSeq lists it as uncharacterized. The record is from RefSeq and is a predicted model, not a curated record. Lineage: Eukaryota; Metazoa; Chordata; Mammalia; Chiroptera; Hipposideridae. The transcript is spliced from 3 exons.